AACAUCUCUGGUUUUGUUGACCCAGCAUUCCAACCCUCUUUCUUCUGGAAAAUGCCCAUUUUCCUACCACAAACAUCUUGUAGGGAGUCCCAACUCCUGGCUAUAGUUAAUUGGACUGGAGGUGAGUAAUCACAUCAAGUAGGGCUGAUGGAAAUACAGUGUUUUGUUCCUGAGUGAGCAGAUGAGCUAAACGAGGCCAAUGAAAGGCCUUCCUCAGGGUUUGAAAAACUGGAGCUGGGCAAAGAGGCUUACUCCCUCUCUAGGACAAAUGGAGAGGUGGAACAUUUGAUUCAUUUGUGGCAUAAUUCCUAGGGAAAAAAACCAGGGCAAAAGAAACAGAAAUAAGAGAUGAAAGGAAAAGACUCCAGGCGGUGUUUGAAUCUCUGAUUCCUUGUCGGUGAGGCCCAGGUGUGCCGUUGCCAUCUCAGAACUAUAUGAGCCUUCCAACACAGAUCCCUUUUUGCCUAAGCUAGUUCGACUUGGUUUUCAGUCACUUUCACCAAAAGAGAGAGACCUCACUCAUACUAUGACUUCAAAUAAGUCUAGUUUUAAUUUACAUUGUCAAAAGCUGACUUCAUUUAUCUUGUCAAAAGUUAACUUCAUUUUGAUAAGCAUCUCAAACAUCCCACCCAAAAUAGUAAGAAAUAAAGUGACCAUAAAUAGUUGUUGCAUUUUUCCUAACAAAAGCCAAUUGUUCAAAGUGAUUUUUUUUUUCUGUUUAUGCCUAUUAGACCAUCCAUCCAGGCAGUCUCCCAAGGAGCUCUUUCUUAUUAACAACCUUAGUUUAAAUUGUACUUCUAUCCCUCACCUCUCCUGUCACACUGUUGCACUGAGUGUAUAUUAUUUUGUCACUUUAUUAAAUAGUUCCUUUCCUAAAGCAACAAGAAAUCAUUUGCAAGAGAAAGUAUGUAUACGUUCUUAUCUUUUUUCCCUUUAGUUACAACUUCCCAAGUGCCUACUCAGGCUUAUACUUUCUCUAACCAAGAGUUAUUUUAACAGGCUUUACUGUCUCGAUUAACUCGUUUAGCUUUUCUAGUCCUUAAGGCUGGGUAGAAACCCUAAUCCUUGUGUUUACCCAGACAUUUGCUAAGUUCAAGGACAGCUAUCCAAGCUGGCUAAUGGCUUUGUUCUUUGAAAAGAAUCUGGGUUUGGUUCAAUGAGUAUAAUCAUUCAAUGCAGUAUUAAUCAUUGCAUUUGAUAGUUUUUCUUUGCCUACCCCUCUUUACAGAAUCAGCCUCAAAUUUUUUCUGGGGAUUUACCCUUUCCUCACCCCCAGUCUAUGACAUCUCAAUGGCAUUCUGAUCCCUACGUCAAGAAUGGAUCCAAGACCCAGGCCCAAGACAACCUACACAUGUGUUGCUGAGUCUAACUCAGGUCAGUGAAUGGGGAAAAACAUCUCUACUCCACAGAGUCAUUCAGGGACCCAGGCUCCUGCCAAGUGGUGACUUCAUCAUCCCUUAGGGCCUCGGACUGCUCUACUGGAUCCUGUGCAUCUAAAUAGCAGGUGAAGAGUUGGAAACAUUUCUACCUCAUUAAGCAACUUCAAUUCCAGAAACCCAGCUGGAGCGCCUGCCAUUGCCUCCCACUGGAGACAUCAGAGUAUAUUUCCCCAUCCGCUGAUGUUGGACUUGGCAUAUGACUCAUUUUGGCCAAUGGAAUGUCAGUGGACAUGACAUGAGCAGAGACUAUAGACGUGCUCCUGUGGUUUGGGUUGGCAUCUUGUGCUUCUCUCCUCUACUACAAGAAAAACUGUCCUGGGUAGCUGCUGGUCCAAGGAAAAUGAGAAAAAUGUGGAGUAGACCUGAACCCAAUCUUCCUGUGAGGAAGAAAAAGAAAUGCUUUUGAGAUUGCAAGUACCGCAUAGUAUCUCCCAGAAGAAGCAGCACGAGGAAGAGGCCUCAUUUAUGGGAAUGCUCAUCCCAUGUGUUGGCAAAGGUGGACACAGCAGUACUGGCUCAUCAAAGCUGGCAGCAGGUGGAUCGUCACAAUAUUUAACAGCCAGUACGGAAAGGCUCUGACCACUCCCCAUCUUCGGAGCAGAUGAGCUGUGAUCAGCCCUUCAGGGAGGGGGAGGCACCUCUCUUCCAAGAAUUCCAGUAAAAAUCCCAAGCCUAUCCAUUGAGCCAGGGUUGUUGAGUUGGACUAACCCAGAAUAUAUGAUCCAAGAGUGAAGAAGGGAAGUUCGCAGUGGCAGGCAGAAUAAUGCUCCCGGCCCCCUGCAAAGGGGUCUAUAUCCUAAUCCUGAGAAACUAUGAAUGGGUUACAUGGCAAAGAGGAAUUAAGGUUGCCAAUCAGCUGACCUUAAACUAGAAGAUUAUCCAGGUAAACCCAGUAUAAUCACCAGAGUCUUUAAGUGGAAGAAGGAGGCAGAAGAGGGGCAACCAGAGAGACGAUAGCAUAAGAAAGACAUGGCCUGAUGUUCCCAGCUUUGAAGAUGAAGGAAUGAGGCUAUGAGCGAAGGAAUGGGCAGUGUCUAGAGACUGGAAAAGGCAAAGAAACAGAUUCUCUCUGAGGGCCUCCAGGAGGCACACAGCCCUGCCAACACCUUGAUAUUACUCAGUGAGACCUAUUUUGGACUUCUGACCUCCAGAACUGAAAGAUAAUAAAUGUGUGUUGUUUUAAGCCACUCA
This is a long non-coding RNA of Diceros bicornis minor, 2630 nucleotides long. RefSeq lists it as uncharacterized. The transcript has 5 exons. NCBI's taxonomy places the organism in Eukaryota, Metazoa, Chordata, Mammalia, Perissodactyla, Rhinocerotidae. The record is from RefSeq and is a predicted model, not a curated record.